RNAcentral lists this ribosomal RNA (546 nucleotides) under Triticum aestivum (bread wheat). RNAcentral describes it as "partial small subunit ribosomal RNA". Lineage: Eukaryota; Viridiplantae; Streptophyta; Magnoliopsida; Poales; Poaceae. The record is from RNAcentral.
AUGGUACAGAAGAAGAACUUCCAUCCCAAAAAGUUCAAAAACAACAAGAACAAAACUCAGGGCAAAGGUAAGUUUGAUACAAAGAACAAGCCAGCACAUUCUACCAACUUCAAGAAGAAUUCUCAUAAGAAGGGGAAGGGACUUUGCCAUGUUUGCGGUGAUCCUAAUCACUGGGCUCCGAAGUGUCCUAACCGUUUUGAGGAGCGCGAACAUGACAAGAGCGGCAAGUCCGCUAAUGUUGUUAUCGGUGAUACUGAUAUGAAGGAAUCAGGAUACGAUAUUUUUCCUACCAUCCUUUCAGUAUUUCGAUCCCCUGAUUGGUUAAUUGACACCGGUGCCAAUGUACAUGUUUGUGCUGACGCCUCCAAGUUUUCUUCUUACCAGGCCACUGGGACUUCUCCCAUGCUGAUGGGGAACGGGUCACAUGCCAUCGUUCGAGGUGUUGGUACGGUCGAUCUGAAGUUUACUUCGGGGAAGACCGUGCGUCUGAAGAACGUUCAUCAUGUGCCGUCCAUCAAUAAAAAUCUCGUUAGCGGUUCCCAUUGA